CAAGAGAUAGAGUUAAGGUGACGUUCUGCAUAUAGCUUUAAUGAGUUGCUGAGUACAACUAACAGAAGUCGAUGUAUCUGUGCGUUGGAUCAGUAGUUGUUAAUGUGUUUCUGGUAUUGCUGCUGCUUGAAAUAAACCCUAGAAGGAAUGCCUUGCUCAGAAGAGCUGGCUGGUCUGUUAGGUGGGCUGUAGUGGUCGUUACAGUGAGUUGAAAUGAAACAAUUGUGACACGUUAAGUUCCACUUUAAAUGCCUCUUCUGAGGCAGAGGUUAGAGGUAGACUUUAAAUACAAAAACAGCUGUAUGGAUGAAGGAGGGCUGAUACCUUGAAGGAAACAUUCUUUUUGAUACAGGGAGAUGAAGAUUUUUUUUACUGGUUUAAUUCUUAAAAAUGCUUUUUAAAUACCUAACUUGGCUUAGGUGAGCUGUGCUCAGCCACUGCUGAGUUACAGCAUGUAAAUAGCAAUUGAUACUGCAAAGGGCCACUGUUUGGCUUUAUCUGCCUGUAGGCUGUAACACUGCUAUAAAAUGAAUGAUUUUACUAAAUCCAAGUAGUAAAGACCUUCAGCCUCAUUUUAAAAUGAGGGAUGGGGGUGAAGGCUACAGCUUACACAGUAAGGGGGAAGUCAAUGUAAAAGAAAAAAAUCUCCUUUCUAAAAAGCUAGUCGAGCAUAUGCUGGGACAGUGCUCUUCCCUUUUCUGCACCAUAGGUCAGAGAAGGGAAAGUGAGAUGUUCCUUCAUCUCUUAAUGCUGGGCUGGGAAGGCAGCAUAACAAAUGAAUGUACUUCAAAAAUGCAGAGAAUACUGCUUGUUUUUGGGGGGUGGCUGGGAGGUUCUUUCCUUAUGUGGAGGAUAUGGAGAAUUCCAGUUGCUGGAUCACAGGCAAGCUUAGAAUUAUGAAAUAAAAUGGAGACAAGUUUGAUAGGGUUCUAUGCAUAUGGGAUCCUGAAGUGGUUUAGGGAAGAAGUAAUUGGGCAAUAUAUAGGCAAAUAUGUAGGGGGAACAAAGAAGCUAAAAUCACCUUGUGUUGAAUGGGAAGUACCAUGUAUAACCUCACAGGUACAAAUACAUCUUGGGAGCAAAUGGAAUAUCAAAGGAUUGGUUUUUGCACUCCCAUAGAAAUCACAAGUUCUUUUGAAUUGCCUUUUUGCUAACCUAGACCCCAGUGCUGCGUUCUUCCAGGCAUGCCUGCCUAACUCCUGCCACACUGCUGCUAUUGGCAGUCAGCCUGCGCUGUUGCAUUUGACUAAUUAAACCAGAGGUGCUUGGCCUGGAGAUUCUCCAGCAUUAACUUGUGCAGCUGAAAUUCCUUCCAGAAAUAUUAAAGGAUUAUCUAAUUGGGCCUAUCACAGUGCCCUGUUUUUGCCUUAUCACUUGGUUCCUGCACAAGCCAAGCCAUCCCAUGCUGUCUCCCUUUGUCUGCAAGGAGGCAAAAGCAGCAGCCCAAACACCCUUACAGGGAUUAAGAGUUCCAGCACAGUAGGAACUGUCAACAAAUAGGAAGAAAUUUAGAAGAAAAACGUACCUCUCUGAGCAGCUGGAGCCAGCUACCAGCUUCCUUUACAACCAUGGGCAUGAGUUGUGGCACCUGUUUAUUUUCAAGUCAUCCUUACUUUCGGUUCACCCGUGAACUAACAAAUGGCUCAGCCAUCCUCUUUGCUUGCAGUUCUUUAACAUCUUCAUGUAACUACUUUUCUAGCUUCCCUUACCGUAGGGCAUUCUAUCACAAACCUUUAUCAGGUGAUAUUGCUCCUCAACGUUACGAUCUGAGCAUGACCAAGUUAGCUCCUUAAGAACUGCACAGCUAUUUCAAUAUUAGCAUAGAUGGCGGAGUUCCAAAUGUUGUUUUACAAGUAACUGAAGUAAACACAGCACUGAAUUUUAGGUUAAUCUUCUGGAGAGUUACCAACUAACUGAAAGAAGUUCUGAAUUGUUUUUAUUCUCCUUCUCUCUUACUAUUUUUCUUUUGUUUAAACAGUCUUUCAGCUCUUCUCCUACCAUGUUUAUUAACUGCAUUGUAACAGUGUUCCUUUUGUUUCUUUAGAGAUUAAGCUGUUGUUUCGAGGUUUCCUUGCGCUAGCACAUUAGGACUUGUUUUGCCAUGCUAGAAUCAAGUGAGAACUGACACAGAAAGGGAAGCUUACGAGGUGAAAGAUGUAGCAAAAGAGUUUUUAAAUGUGGAUUGUUUCAUACGGACUAAUUAUGCAUGAAAAAGAAGUCAGUUAAUGAUUCACAGCCCUUCCAACAAAUUCAAUGAAGAUAACGAUAAAGCAAGUUUCCCCAACAUCCAAAUUUCCUAAACUAGUCCUCCAUGGAACAAUGUACAAGGAACAAAAACAGUAUUUGUGUUUUUUAGCAUAAGUGUUUUUUAUAAAGUUAAAAGUCGCUCAUUUCUUUCUUUAAAAAUGCAGGCAGAGAUGGAUACACCACAGAAUUUAUUCUGUCCCUCCCCACACCUCAAAACAGAUUAUUAAAUUAUGUUGUUAAGAGUUCCCCCCCCAUCCCCAGCUGGCUGUCCUAACCUCAAAUAGUACUACUGACCAUAGACAACAGAGGGAGCAGUAGAUGCAAUCUACAUACAGAAUCCAGUUUGAUAAGUGUUUAAGUGACCCCCACUACCCAUAUUAAGUGGGCAAGCAAAGUGCUUCCAAGUUGAUUAUCAUCUUAAAUUUAACAUGGCUGUUUGACUGAACAAGAGCAUUCACUGGUAACUGAAGAACGUUAUUUCAGAAGGCAGCAGGUACACUGAUCAUGCCACUUGCUAGAAAACUGGCUAAUAAAAUCAGCCUGUGGUCAUUUCUUUUCAGAUUCUGCAUCUGGUUCUGAAUUAAACAGGGAUCAGCUUCUACACUUAUUUAUAAGAUUGAAUUCAUAUCUUCAACAAUUUUAGUCCUUUAAAAACCUGUAAAAGGGUAUAUAAUCCAACUUCCAAAACUCUACAGCUGAAAUAUAAUUUCUAUUAGCAUAUAAAAAGUGAAAGGAGAAAGUGUUGUACAAAUUCAUGUCACUGGUGAGAUAACCUUCAGUAGAACCAUUAAACACAUUCACUUAUCUAAAAUUGCUCUCAUUUUAGUACAUACAUGCCAGGGUUGAACCUCAGUUCCUCAACAGUACAUCAGUUUGUACAAAAACUCCAAAAAGCAUUAUGCAAAAGCCAAUCUAUUUCCACUUUAAGUCACAUACGAGUGCUAUAUGAUCCGAAGGAUGUGAAACACUUGGCAAAGCCUGAUGGGUCGUUACUUCUUCAUGACUUGGCAAUGGAAUGACCUGUUCAACUUCCAGGGCAUUUUGGUCAAUGAAAACAUAGUCCAGACAUCCAUAAAACCCACCAACAUAGUUUGUGUACGCAGGUUCUCCACAAGCACUCUGCAGUUUGAAAGGAUGGCUUAGAGGCAUAUUGCACCUUUCCUCUUCUCCAUUAGAGGCCCAAUCUUCGUGAUCUUCAGCAAUGCCACCGGUGUUAAUAAAACCGUAAGUUCCAGAUGAUGGUGUACUAUUAAAGUCUCCACAGAAUAUGAGUGGUAUAUUAGGAUACAAGUCACAUGCUACAUACUUGAUGUGAGACAAAGCUACAGCAAUUUGGAUGAGACGGAUGUUCCCACCUUUUGGAUGCCAGUAGAGAUGGGUGUUAGCUACACAAAGCUUCUUGGAAGGAUCAGUUUCAGACUGAAGAACUGAAACCUGCAGCACAGACGAUCUCUGCAGCACCUUAUCCCGCACGGCGGGGUACCGGCCCAGCCUGUCGCGCAGCUCCGCGUGCAGCGGCUCCGACAGCAGCGCCUCGCUGAACGUGAUGUCGUGCCGGCUCAGGAGGCUGAACUUGUCCCUGCGGUAGAACGUGGCCAGGCCCUCGUGCUGCUUCUCCUUGAUCUUGAACAGCCCCUCGAGCCCGAACGCAUCCAGAGCCGGGGCCAGGCUGUCUGCGAACACGGAUUUGUCCACCUCCUGCAGGCAGAUGAGGUCGGCGUUGUAGCCGGCCAGUUCCUUCUUCAGCAGGUUCUGCCGGUAGUCGACCUCCAGCGCGUACGGGGCGCAGUACGGGUACAGCACGGUGCGGGAGAACUCGGUCUGGGCGUAGGCGUCGGCCAGGAUGUUGUAGGAGACGGCGCGCACGGAGCCGCGGCCGCACACCUUCCGCGUGUAGAGGUGCCGCGCAUCGAAGGUGCAGACGCCCGGCCCGGCCUCCACGGGGCCGCUGCUCUCCACCUCACGGGGCGCCCCG
Molecule: long non-coding RNA, 4222 nt
Filed under: Gallus gallus (chicken)
Lineage: Eukaryota; Metazoa; Chordata; Aves; Galliformes; Phasianidae
Source: RNAcentral